UCCCCGGGGGUCUAGUGGUUAGGAUUUGGUGCUUUCACUGCUGUGGCCCAGGUUCAAUCCCUGGUUUGGGAA
Molecule: transfer RNA, 72 nt
Filed under: Sus scrofa (pig)
Lineage: Eukaryota; Metazoa; Chordata; Mammalia; Artiodactyla; Suidae
Rfam family: tRNA
About the family: Transfer RNA (tRNA) molecules are approximately 80 nucleotides in length. Their secondary structure includes four short double-helical elements and three loops (D, anti-codon, and T loops).
Source: Rfam by way of RNAcentral